This 407-nucleotide ribosomal RNA is filed under the name uncultured bacterium. RNAcentral describes it as "partial 16S ribosomal RNA". It matches the Rfam family "Bacterial small subunit ribosomal RNA", at positions 30 to 526 of the family's 1533-position model. The record is from RNAcentral.
AUUGAACGCUAGCGGGAUGCCUUACACAUGCAAGUCGAACGGAGUGGCGAACGGGUGCGUAAUGUUUCGGAAUGUGCCCAGUAGCGGGGGAUAACUACGCGUAAGCGAAACUAAUGCCACAUCCUAUUGGAGCGGGCGCUAUCGGAUUAGCUAGAUGGUGGGGUAACGGCUCACCAAGGCGACGAUCCGUAGCUGGUUUGAGAGGACGACCAGCCACACUGGGACUGAGACACGGCCCAGACUCCUACGUGAGGCAGCAGUGGGGAAUUUUGGACAAUGGGGGAAACCCUGAUCCAGCCAUCCCGCGUGUGUGAUGAAGGCCUUCGGGUUGUAAAGCACUUUUGGCAGAGAAGCGGUACCUGCAGAAUAAGCACCGGCUAACUACGUGCCAGCAGCCGCGGUAAUUC